Molecule: ribosomal RNA, 253 nt
Filed under: uncultured bacterium
Lineage: Bacteria
Description: partial 16S ribosomal RNA
Rfam family: Bacterial small subunit ribosomal RNA
Source: RNAcentral
UACGUAGGUGGCAAGCGUUGUCCGGAUUUACUGGGCGUAAAGGAUGCGUAGGCGGACAUUUACGUCAGAUGUGAAAUACCCGAGCUUAACUUGGGUGCUGCAUUUGAAACUGGGUGUCUAGAGUGCAGGAGAGGUAAGUGGAAUUCCUAGUGUAGCGGUGAAAUGCGUAGAGAUUAGGAAGAACACCAGUGGCGAAGGCGACUUACUGGACUGUAACUGACGCUGAGGCACGAAAGCGUGGGGAGCAAACAGG